Molecule: long non-coding RNA, 206 nt
Filed under: Elaeis guineensis (African oil palm)
Lineage: Eukaryota; Viridiplantae; Streptophyta; Magnoliopsida; Arecales; Arecaceae
Description: long non-coding RNA (EGUI_LNC018520)
Source: RNAcentral
ACCAUCCAGAUAUCAAAUCCUAUCCAAGCAUCCAAUGAUUGACAUUUGACACGAUUCUGUUGGCUUGCAGGAGAUGCCAGUUGACCCAUUAAUAAUCUAUGCGAGAAACAAAGAAUACCAUUUUUUAAAUUCUACCAACCAUCUUUCUGUCAUGAUUACUUGAUUGAUAUGACCAUUCGCUCUGCCUAAGAACUACAAGUGCCAUU